UACGUAGGUGACAAGCGUUAUCCGGAUUCACUGGGUUUAAAGGGUGCGUAGGCGGGCAGAUAAGUCAGUGGUGAAAUCCCCGAGCUUAACUUGGGAACUGCCAUUGAUACUAUUUGUCUUGAAUGUCGUGGAGGUUAGCGGAAUAUGUCAUGUAGCGGUGAAAUGCUUAGAUAUGACAUAGAACACCCAUUGCGAAGGCAGCUAACUACGCGAAUAUUGACGCUGAGGCGCGAAAGCGUGGGGAUCAAACAGG
RNAcentral lists this ribosomal RNA (253 nucleotides) under uncultured bacterium. RNAcentral's name for it is "partial 16S ribosomal RNA". It matches the Rfam family "Bacterial small subunit ribosomal RNA", at positions 524 to 776 of the family's 1533-position model. The record is from RNAcentral.